Molecule: microRNA precursor, 154 nt
Filed under: Medicago truncatula (barrel medic)
Lineage: Eukaryota; Viridiplantae; Streptophyta; Magnoliopsida; Fabales; Fabaceae
Description: miR5228 stem-loop (mtr-MIR5228)
Source: miRBase by way of RNAcentral
UGCAACUUUCUGGUGUACAACUUGAUGGAGAUUUUAAAUAUCUUUCAAGAAAUUUGAGAUGGCUACACUGGAAUGGAUUUCCGUUAGCAUGCAUACCUUCAAACUUCUAUCAAAGAAAUAUAGUUUCCAUUGAGUUAGAAAACAGCAGUGUCAA